Molecule: long non-coding RNA, 519 nt
Filed under: Equus caballus (horse)
Lineage: Eukaryota; Metazoa; Chordata; Mammalia; Perissodactyla; Equidae
Description: lncRNA (ENSECAG00000041285.2)
Source: RNAcentral
GGGAGAGCUGACACAUGUGGACGAGGUUGCCCGCAGGGACCUUGCUAGAGACGCCCAUCCAGCAAUCCCAUGAGGCCUAAAUAAGGAAUCCCAGCCUAUGAAGAGGAACCCCAGCCCAGAGGGGUCAGGGACUAAUCUCAGCAAUAGUAACAGCCAGCAUCAGCUGCCUGCUUGCCAGAGCCCCGGCCAUCUGGAGCAGCCUGGAGCAGGGCCAGGCCUGCCUUGCUGGAUAUGAACAGGGCCCCAGGGAUCGAGACCCUGGCGCUGGCAGCAAGGGGCAGUGCUGGAGAAGCACCGUUUAAAACAGAUAGAGCCAGUCGACAGUCUGGAAAAUUCUGCUGAUCAUCGGAUUGUGUAAAGUUGUGGAAGCUUUGGUUCUCAUCAACGCAUACUCAAAACGCAAGCUAUUUCCCGUCAGGGAGAUACUUAAGACAGCGACAGGCUUAGCUAUAAAAGCACCAUUAAUUUGUUCUCUCUUCUGAUGACAGUCCUAUGAAAUAAAUCUAUCAGAGGUCCUGC